AUGCCAUGAUGGGGACACUUUCGGAGUAGUCCCUUAAAUCUUUCCCAUGCCUCAUAUAAAGAUUCGCUUUCUUUUUGUUCGAAAGCACUGAUAUCUGCUUUGAGCCU
Gastrolobium bilobum is the source of this 107-nucleotide small nucleolar RNA. Lineage: Eukaryota; Viridiplantae; Streptophyta; Magnoliopsida; Fabales; Fabaceae. The record is from RefSeq and is a predicted model, not a curated record.